UAACCAAACGAUCCCAGGACACCAAAGUAGCCAAUAAAGUCAAGUAUAAGGGGUCUAAACAAAACAAUAUGAAGAAAAUAGUGAACUUAAUAGAUGAAAAGCCUAAACCUCGAGGGGUACCAGUGCAAAAUAAUUUCUCCAUCCUAAACCCUAGCUCUUCGAGCCGUCUAGAAUAUGUCACCAUGUAUAUAUAUAAACACAACAUCAUUGCUUCUUCUCCUCACAUCUUAAACCCUAGCAGCAGCUUAACGUUUUCGAAUACUUGUGCAGUUUGGUUGAUUUGCAAGUGAUGAUAAAACAGACAGGGACAUCAGAACUCCAUUAUUGGGGAAAAGAUGACUAGUCUAAUGGGAAUCUCUCUGAUGCAUUUCAACUAACAACAAAUACUUUCGAGUGAACAUGGCAUAUAAUUUGUUUAAAGUUGUAUUAUUGCUCUAAUUUUGCUUUAACUUUUUGGGGACAACUGAAGUGAAAUGACUAUUGUUUUAUUCUAGUGAUUUUGUAAUGAGGAAUUAACAUUAAUGUACAACUUUGUGUGUACCUUUGCCAAA
Capsicum annuum is the source of this 551-nucleotide long non-coding RNA. RefSeq lists it as uncharacterized. The transcript is spliced from 2 exons. Lineage: Eukaryota; Viridiplantae; Streptophyta; Magnoliopsida; Solanales; Solanaceae. The record is from RefSeq and is a predicted model, not a curated record.